Mytilus californianus (California mussel) is the source of this 958-nucleotide long non-coding RNA. RefSeq lists it as uncharacterized. The transcript has 5 exons. The record is from RefSeq and is a predicted model, not a curated record. NCBI's taxonomy places the organism in Eukaryota, Metazoa, Mollusca, Bivalvia, Mytilida, Mytilidae.
UUCGUCAGAGUUCAGCCGAGUUCAACCAAAAGCCGCAUCACGUGACUAGAAAUACCGAAGAGUCAAAACGAAACACUUGUGACAAUUUCCAUUUAUAAGAGUGUAAAGAUAUGGUUAAGUUCUUUCUGUUGCUUGGUUUGGUCCUAUCCGCGUCAAAUGUAAAGGCUGGUGGUUACGGGAAGGGUAGUGGCUACGGCCAUGGAUCGAGUUACGGACAUGGAUCCUCCUACGGAAUGGAAUACAGAGGAUAUGGUGACGGCGGUUACGGAUCGGCCUCUUUAAUGAGGGAUUUAUUAGGAGGCUAUCGAGGAGGUGGUGGCUACGGCAGUGGAGGUGGUUACGGCGGUGGAGUUGGAUAUGGAGGCGGUUAUGGAGGUGGAAGUCGCGGACGAAACUUAGCUGUUGUUCAAACGCCAGUGCUUGAAUAUAAGAAUGUGGUUCAAAAUGUCCCAACAAUUGAAUAUCAGACUGUUCCACAAGUACAGUACCAAACACAAACAGUGGCGAGACAGGUGCCAAUAUAUGCUAAUUCAAACCCAAGUUAUCCAAGUAACCCGUCAUACGUUGGUCCAUCCUCCUUGAUGGGAAGUGGAUCCGCUGCACCAUUUUACUCUGGAUCAGCUGCACCAGUUUACUCCGGAUCCGCUGCACCAAUUUACUCUGGAUCAUCUGCACCAGUUUUCUCAAACGCACCCAUGUUUCCCAGCGGUUUAGGAUCACCAAACUUCAACACUGGAGGUUCAUCUCCAAUUUAUUCUAGUGGUGCUCCAGUCUAUAAUACAGGAAACAGUGGAGGUGGUGCUCUUAGAGGAGAUGGGACCUUCAACCCAUCACAACCUAACACGUACCUUGUUGGGUAAUGUAAUUACCUAGCAACCACCACCCCACAUGGAUGUGGAACCAUGGCAGGAUGUUUCGUACUUUGUAUGCUCUCUAAAUAAAACCUAUCAAUACCUUC